RNAcentral lists this unclassified non-coding RNA (416 nucleotides) under soil metagenome. Its description in RNAcentral is "partial contains 5.8S ribosomal RNA, internal transcribed spacer 2, and large subunit ribosomal RNA". The stretch from base 1 to 120 matches the Rfam family "5.8S ribosomal RNA", at positions 35 to 154 of the family's 154-position model. The record is from RNAcentral.
GAUGAAGAACGUAGCGAAAUGCGAUAAGUAAUGUGAAUUGCGGAAUUCAGUGAAUCAUCGAAUCUUUGAACGCACCUUGCACUCCUUGGUAUUCCGAGGAGUACGCCUGUUCGAGUGUUAUGAAGCUCUCAAAACGCAAUUGGCUUAAAACCUGAUUGUUGUUUUGGAUUUGAACUUUGCCGUGUUAUAACGGCUGGUUUUAAAAGUAUUAGCUGGUACUAGAACGAAUUGGUUCUACUCAACGUGAUAAUUAUCUGAUCGUUGAGGACAUUCCUUUCACGAGGAAUGGCCAUAGUAAAUUCAAUGGACUGCUUCUAAUCUGGCUUUAAUUCUUUAUUGGAUUAACCACUUUUCAAAUCUGACCUCGAAUCAGGUGGGACUACCCGCUGAACUUAAGCAUAUCAAUAAGCGGAGGA